CCCUUAGAUGUUCUGGGCUGCACGCGUGCUACACUGAUAUUGCCAAUAUGUCAUUCUUAUCCGAAAUGGAUUGGGUAAUCAAGUAAUGAAAUUUCAUGCUUGGAAUCGGUAAUUGCAAUUUUAUCGUGAACGAGGAAUUCCUAGUAAGCGCUAGUCAUCAGCUAAUGUUGAUUAUGUCCCUGCCCUUUGUACACACCGCCCGUCGCUACUACUGAUUGGGUGUUCAAGUGAGAUGCUUAGACCCUUGUUGCAUGGUUCAUUAAUGUGCUCCGAAAGGAAAAAGUUUCAAGCUUGAGUGUCUAGAGGAAGUAAAAGUCGUAACA
This 323-nucleotide ribosomal RNA is filed under the name uncultured eukaryote. RNAcentral describes it as "partial 18S ribosomal RNA". It matches the Rfam family "Eukaryotic small subunit ribosomal RNA", at positions 1470 to 1796 of the family's 1831-position model. The record is from RNAcentral.